GUGGCGAGUGCAGAUUAUCUUAUAAGUAUUGUUCGUUAUCGAGGACGACAAGGAGCGUCUUCCGUUUGAUCCAUUCGAAGUAAAGGAGGGAUCUCAUAACCGCUUCUUCCCCCAAUUUUCUCUCCGCUCUUCCUAAAUUUUCGAAGAAAGAGUGAUCGAAAGAAGGAAUCGCCAUGGCGGCCAUCGGGAAUACGCUUGUCUCCAUCCGAGAUUUCUGCCCCACGUCGCUCUUACUCUUCUCCCCAAAUCGCUUCCGAUGGAUCUCUAAUUAUGCUCAUUCCUGCGAUUUGGACGAAUUGGUGGUUGUUUGAGGUCAUCAGAGAAGUCUUUUUUUGGUUAUGGCCCUACGAACUGUUCAAGCAGCCUACAGAUCAGCAAAGUACUGGCUGGGGCUGAUAGAAAAGAUAUCAUCAGGAAGUUUCCAAAAUUCAUAUAUGACGAGGAAUAGGCUUUGGAGGAGGCCCAAAAGAUACUGGUGGAGAAGAUGGAGCAGUUGAACUCAGAUAUAGAUGAUGUUCCUUCUCAGCUCCGGCAACAUGAUGGUUCAAAUGGGGCGGCUGUGACAUCUGAUAAAGUUGAAGCUGCAAUUUAAAGUCAACCUGGUAACAUGUUAGUUUGCAUGCAGUAAGAUGUAUUUGUCGAUAUUGCGCAAUUUACUUUCAAUAUUUUGACUUAAUAAAACUUGGAUCCAUAGGACUUACCGUUC
Elaeis guineensis (African oil palm) is the source of this 706-nucleotide long non-coding RNA. RefSeq lists it as uncharacterized. The record is from RefSeq and is a predicted model, not a curated record. Lineage: Eukaryota; Viridiplantae; Streptophyta; Magnoliopsida; Arecales; Arecaceae.